RNAcentral lists this non-coding RNA (27 nucleotides) under Homo sapiens (human). The record is from RNAcentral. Lineage: Eukaryota; Metazoa; Chordata; Mammalia; Primates; Hominidae.
UGAUGAUGAGAAUGCUGUGUGCGCAGC